This 775-nucleotide ribosomal RNA is filed under the name uncultured bacterium. RNAcentral describes it as "bacterial SSU rRNA". It matches the Rfam family "Bacterial small subunit ribosomal RNA", at positions 8 to 796 of the family's 1533-position model. The record is from RNAcentral.
AGAGUUUGAUCCUGGCUCAGAAUCAACGCUGGCGGCGUGCCUCAGACAUGCAAGUCGAACGAUUAAGACUCUCUUCGGAGAGUGUAUAGAGUGGCGCACGGGUGAGUAACACGUAGGUAAUUUGCCUUCGGGUGGGGAAUAACUUGGGGAAACCCAAGCUAAUACCGCAUAAUGCAGCGGCACCAAAUGGUGACAGUUGUUAAAGCUUUAUGUGCCUGAAGAGAAGCCUGCGGUGGAUUAGGUAGUUGGUAAGGUAAUGGCUUACCAAGCCUGCGAUCCAUAUCCGGUCUUAGAGGACGGUCGGACACACUGACACUGAAUAACGGGUCAGACUCCUACGGGAGGCAGCAGUCGGGAAUUUUGGGCAAUGGGCGAAAGCCUGACCCAGCAACGCCGCGUGAAGGAUGAAGUCCUUCGGGAUGUAAACUUCGGAAGAAUGGGAAGAAUAAAUGACGGUACCAUUUUUAAGCCCCGGCUAACUCCGUGCCAGCAGCCGCGGUAAUACGGAGGGGGCAAGCGUUGUUCGGAUUUACUGGGCGUAAAGGGCGCGUAGGCGGCGCAACAAGUCACUUGUGAAAUCUCCGGGCUUAACUCGGAACUGCCAAGUGAUACUGUAGUGCUAGAGUGCAGAAGGGGCAAUCGGAAUUCUUGGUGUAGCGGUGAAAUGCGUAGAUAUCAAGAGGAACACCAGAGGCGAAGGCGGAUUGCUGGGCUGACACUGACGCUGAGGCGCGAAAGCUAGGGUAGCAAACGGGAUUAGAUACCCUAGUAGUCC